GGGCCCGCACAAGCGGUGGAUUAUGUGGAUUAAUUCGAUGCAACGCGAAAAACCUUACCUGGCCUUGACAUGUACCGAAUUUAGCAGAGAUGCUUUAGUGCUCGUAAGAGAACGGUAACACAGGUGCUGCAUGGCUGUCGUCAGCUCGUGUCGUGAGAUGUUGGGUUAAGUCCCGCAACGAGCGCAACCCUUGCCAUUAAUUGCCAUCAUUUAGUUGGGCACUUUAAUGGGACUGCCGGUGACAAACCGGAGGAAGGUGGGGAUGACGUCAAGUCCUCAUGGCCCUUAUGGCCAGGGCUUCACACGUAAUACAAUGGUUGGUACAGAGGGAAGCGAACUCGCGAGGGGGAGCAAAUCUCAAAAAGCCAAUCUCAGUCCGGAUUGGAGUCUGCAACUCGACUCCAUGAAGUUGGAAUC
Molecule: ribosomal RNA, 417 nt
Filed under: uncultured bacterium
Lineage: Bacteria
Description: bacterial SSU rRNA
Rfam family: Bacterial small subunit ribosomal RNA
Source: RNAcentral